GGAGGAAAAGAAACUAACAAGGAUUCCCCUAGUAGCGGCGAGCGAAGCGGGAAAAGCUCAAAUUUGUAAUCUGGCGUCUACGACGUCCGAGUUGUAAUCUCGAGAAGUGUUUUCCGUGAUAGACCGCAUACAAGUCUCUUGGAACAGAGCGUCAUAGUGGUGAGAACCCAGUACACGAUGCGGAUGCCUAUUACUUUGUGAUACACUUUCGAAGAGUCGAGUUGUUUGGGAAUGCAGCUCAAAUUGGGUGGUAAAUUCCAUCUAAAGCUAAAUAUUGGCGAGAGACCGAUAGCGAACAAGUACCGUGAGGGAAAGAUGAAAAGCACUUUGGAAAGAGAGUUAACAGUACGUGAAAUUGUUGGAAGGGAAACACAUGCAGCCAGACUUGCUAUUCGGGGCAACUCGAUUGGCAGGCCCGCAUCAGUUUUUCGGGGCGGAAAAUCAUAGAGAGAAGGUAGCAAUUUCGGUUGUGUUAUAGCUCUUUAUUGGAUUCGCCCUGGGGGACUGAGGAACGCAGCGUGCUUUUAGCAUAAGCUUCGGCUUAUCCACGCUUAGGAUGCGGGUGUAAUGGCUGUAUAUGACCCGUCU
RNAcentral lists this ribosomal RNA (588 nucleotides) under Sporobolomyces roseus. RNAcentral's name for it is "partial 26S ribosomal RNA". It matches the Rfam family "Eukaryotic large subunit ribosomal RNA", at positions 52 to 654 of the family's 3401-position model. Lineage: Eukaryota; Fungi; Basidiomycota; Microbotryomycetes; Sporidiobolales; Sporidiobolaceae. The record is from RNAcentral.